This 659-nucleotide small RNA is filed under the name Histoplasma capsulatum var. duboisii H88. Its description in RNAcentral is "Histoplasma capsulatum H88 hypothetical RNA". Lineage: Eukaryota; Fungi; Ascomycota; Eurotiomycetes; Onygenales; Ajellomycetaceae. The record is from RNAcentral.
ACACUGCCAGGUGUCCCAGAAGGGGCGCAGGUUCGAAUCCUGCAUGGCUCACUUAACCAAUUUCCACUGUUAAAUCACCAAACAGUACUGGAAGUCCCUGGGUUUGGAGGCAUUCGGGCGCUAAUUCUCACUGAUCUUGCGGGGCUAGAACCCCCCGGGCGCUUCAAGUUAGAUCAGUACUAGAUAGGUAUAUGAUGGGUGGAGCAACCCGCGGGAUAGCGAAUCAUUGUCAAGCUUAACCGGCCAGGGAUUCAUUGCACUGCCCCAUUCAGCCCCACUAAUCUAUCUAGGCAUCUCUAAAUUCCAGAGAAUAGAUUUAAAAACUAUCUGAUUAGAACACUCUGGGUCUAGUGAGGAUCUAGAUGAGAUGAGAUCUAAACACUCUUAAUAGAUGAUUAGUACAAGCAAGAUUGUGAUGAUUAAUUGAUAGACUGAAAUACUGAGAUUAGCAGCUGAAAGAUCAGAGACUUAACUAAAACUGAGUAGCUCUGAUAUUAUUCUUAGUGAAAAUCUUACUUAAAUAGACUAGUUAAAAACCUGAGUGAACAGUGAUAUUUUAGAGGGAAUGAUAAUCUCUAAUAAUGAUUCAAGAUGACAGAGAUGGCAGCUGGUUAUAUAGAGUAUUAAAAUAUAUAUCUAGCUUAAGAUAUAAACUGCAG